UCGGGAAUUUUCCACAAUGGGCGAAAGCCUGAUGGAGCAACGCCGCGUGCAGGAUGAAGGCCUUCGGGUUGUAAACUGCUUUUAUCUGUGACGAUUAUGACAGUAGCAGAGGAAUAAGGGUCGGCUAACUCCGUGCCAGCAGCCGCGGUCAUACGGAGGACCCAAGCGUUAUUCGGAAUUACUGGGCGUAAAGAGUUGCGUAGGUGGUUUGUUAAGCAAGUAAUGAAAUCGUGUGGCUCAACUAUACGACUAUUAUUUGAACUGGCAGACUUGAGUAUGAGAGAGGUACCUGGAAUUCCCGGUGUAGGAGUGAAAUCCGUAGAUAUCGGGAGGAACACCAAUGGCGUAGGCAGGGUACUGGCUCAUUACUGACACUGAGGCACGAAAGCGUGGGGAGCAAACGGG
This 405-nucleotide ribosomal RNA is filed under the name uncultured bacterium. RNAcentral describes it as "bacterial SSU rRNA". It matches the Rfam family "Bacterial small subunit ribosomal RNA", at positions 355 to 776 of the family's 1533-position model. The record is from RNAcentral.